AACGAACGCUGGCGGCGUGCUUAAGACAUGCAAGUCGUACGGAAAGGCCCCCUUCGGGGGUACGUCGAGUGGCGCACGGGUGAGUAACGCGUGGGUAAUCUGCCUUCGGGUCGUGGGACAACCUCGGGAAACGUAGGGCUAAUACCAGAUAAGACCACGAGUUCUUCGGAGCUCGCGGAAAAAGAAUGGCCUCUCCUUGGAAGCUAUCGCCCGUCGAUGAGCCUGCGUCCCAUUAGCUAGUUGGGAGGUAACGGCUCACCAAGGCUUCGAUGGGUAGCUGGUCUGAGAGGAUGAUCAGCCACACUGGAACUGAGAUACGGUCCAGACUCCUAC
RNAcentral lists this ribosomal RNA (333 nucleotides) under uncultured bacterium. Its description in RNAcentral is "bacterial SSU rRNA". It matches the Rfam family "Bacterial small subunit ribosomal RNA", at positions 29 to 342 of the family's 1533-position model. The record is from RNAcentral.